RNAcentral lists this ribosomal RNA (497 nucleotides) under uncultured bacterium. RNAcentral's name for it is "partial 16S ribosomal RNA". It matches the Rfam family "Bacterial small subunit ribosomal RNA", at positions 36 to 507 of the family's 1533-position model. The record is from RNAcentral.
UCUUCCCUCUGGCGGCGUGCCUAAUACAUGCAAGUCGAGCGAACAGACGAGGAGCUUGCUCCUCUGACGUUAGCGGCGGACGGGUGAGUAACACGUGGAUAACCUACCUAUAAGACUGGGAUAACUUCGGGAAACCGGAGCUAAUACCGGAUAAUAUAUUGAACCGCAUGGUUCAAUAGUGAAAGACGGUUUUGCUGUCACUUAUAGAUGGAUCCGCGCCGCAUUAGCUAGUUGGUAAGGUAACGGCUUACCAAGGCAACGAUGCGUAGCCGACCUGAGAGGGUGAUCGGCCACACUGGUACUGAGACACGGUCCAGACUCCUACGGGAGGCAGCAGUAGGGAAUCUUCCGCAAUGGGCGAAAGCCUGACGGAGCAACGCCGCGUGAGUGAUGAAGGUCUUCGGAUCGUAAAACUCUGUUAUUAGGGAAGAACAAAUGUGUAAGUAACUAUGCACGUCUUGACGGUACCUAAUCAGAAAGCCACGGCUAACUACGUG